GACGAACGCUGGCGGCGUGCUUAACACAUGCAAGUCGAACGGAAAGGCCCUGCUCUUGUGGGUUUCUCGAGUGGCGAACGGGUGAGUAACACGUGAGUAUCCUGCCCUUGACUUUGGGAUAACUUCAGGAAACUGGGGCUAAUACCGGAUAUGAUCUCCUGCUGCAUGGUGGGGGUUGGAAAGUUUCGGCGGUUGGGGAUGGACUCGCGGCUUAUCAGCUUGUUGGUGGGGUAGUUGCUUACCAAGCCUUUGACGGGUAGCCGGCCUGAGAGGGUUACCGGCCACAAUGGGACUGAGAUACGGACCAGACUGCUACGGGAGGCAGCAGUGGGGAAUAUUGCACAAUGGGCGGAAGCCUGAGGCAGCAACGCCGCGUGCGGGAUGACGGCCUUCGGGUUGUAAACCGCUGUCGCCGGAGACGAAGCGUGAGUGACGGUAAUGGGUAAAGAAGCACCGGCUAACUACGUG
RNAcentral lists this ribosomal RNA (468 nucleotides) under uncultured bacterium. RNAcentral's name for it is "partial 16S ribosomal RNA". It matches the Rfam family "Bacterial small subunit ribosomal RNA", at positions 28 to 507 of the family's 1533-position model. The record is from RNAcentral.